CAAACUGCGAAUACCGGAGAAUGUUAUCACGGGAGACACACGGCGGGUGCUAACGUCCGUCGUGAAGAGGGAAACAACCCAGACCGCCAGCUAAGGUCCCAAAGUCAUGGUUAAGUGGGAAACGAUGUGGGAAGGCCCAGACAGCCAGGAUGUUGGCUUAGAAGCAGCCAUCAUUUAAAGAAAGCGUAAUAGCUCACUGGUCGAGUCGGCCUGCGCGGAAGAUGUAACGGGGCUAAACCAUGCACCGAAGCUGCGGCAGCGAACGUAUCACUUAAAGCGAUUCAGCGGGUUACGAUUGACGGAGCGAAGCGACGUCAAAGCGUAUACAAAGUCGAGUCGGUUUAAGGAUACGUUCGUUGGGUAGGGGAGCGUUCUGUAAGCCUGUGAAGGUGUGUCGUGAGGCAUGCUGGAGGUAUCAGAAGUGCGAAUGCUGACAUAAGUAACGAUAAAGCGGGUGAAAAGCCCGCUCGCCGGAAGACCAAGGGUUCCUGUCCAACGUUAAUCGGGGCAGGGUGAGUCGACCCCUAAGGCGAGGCCGAAAGGCGUAGUCGAUGGGAAACGGGUUAAUAUUCCCGUACUUGGUGUUACUGCGAAGGGGGGACGGAGAAGGCUAUGUUGGCCGGGCGACGGUUGUCCCGGUUUAAGCGUGUAGGUGUGUGUUCCAGGUAAAUCCGGUUCACUUUAACACUGAGGCGUGAUGACGAGGCACUACGGUGCUGAAGCAACAAAUGCCCUGCUUCCAGGAAAAGCCUCUAAGCAUCAGGUAACAUCAAAUCGUACCCCAAACCGACACAGGUGGUCAGGUAGAGAAUACCAAGGCGCUUGAGAGAACUCGGGUGAAGGAACUAGGCAAAAUGGUGCCGUAACUUCGGGAGAAGGCACGCUGACACGUAGGUGAAGUGAUUUACUCAUGGAGCUGAAGUCAGUCGAAGAUACCAGCUGGCUGCAACUGUUUAUUAAAAACACAGCACUGUGCAAACACGAAAGUGGACGUAUACGGUGUGACGCCUGCCCGGUGCCGGAAGGUUAAUUGAUGGGGUCAGCGCAAGCGAAGCUCCUGAUCGAAGCCCCGGUAAACGGCGGCCGUAACUAUAACGGUCCUAAGGUAGCGAAAUUCCUUGUCGGGUAAGUUCCGACCUGCACGAAUGGCGUAAUGAUGGCCAGGCUGUCUCCACCCGAGACUCAGUGAAAUUGAACUCGCUGUGAAGAUGCAGUGUACCCGCGGCAAGACGGAAAGACCCCGUGAACCUUUACUAUAGCUUGACACUGAACAUUGAGCCUUGAUGUGUAGGAUAGGUGGGAGGCUUUGAAGCGUGGACGCCAGUCUGCGUGGAGCCGACCUUGAAAUACCACCCUUUAAUGUUU
This 1365-nucleotide ribosomal RNA is filed under the name Salmonella enterica subsp. enterica serovar Paratyphi B. RNAcentral's name for it is "partial 23S ribosomal RNA". It matches the Rfam family "Bacterial large subunit ribosomal RNA", at positions 950 to 2215 of the family's 2925-position model. The record is from RNAcentral. Lineage: Bacteria; Pseudomonadati; Pseudomonadota; Gammaproteobacteria; Enterobacterales; Enterobacteriaceae.